RNAcentral lists this ribosomal RNA (492 nucleotides) under uncultured bacterium. Its description in RNAcentral is "partial 16S ribosomal RNA". It matches the Rfam family "Bacterial small subunit ribosomal RNA", at positions 29 to 507 of the family's 1533-position model. The record is from RNAcentral.
AGUGAACGCUGGCGGUAGGCCUAACACGUGCAAGUCGAACGGCAGCACAGUAAGAGCUUGCUCUUACGGGUGGCGAGUGGCGGACGGGUGAGGAAUACAUCGGAAUCUACUUUUUCGUGGGGGAUAACGUAGGGAAACUUACGCUAAUACCGCAUAAGAACUACGGGUGAAAGAAGGGGAUCUUCGGACCUUGCGCGAAUGAAUGAGCCGAUGUCGGAUUAGGUAGUUGGCGGGGUAAAGGCCCACCAAGGCGACGAUCCGUAGCUGGUCUGAGAGGAUGAUCAGCCACACUGGAACUGAGACACGGUCCAGACUCCUACGGGAGGCAGCAGUGGGGAAUAUUGGACAAUGGGCGCAAGCCUGAUCCAGCCAUACCGCGUGGGUGAAGAAGGCCUUCGGGUUGUAAAGCCCUUUUGUUGGGAAAGAAAAGCAGCAGGUUAAUACCCCGCUGUUCUGACGGUACCCAAAGAAUAAGCACCGGCUAACUUCGUG